Parasteatoda tepidariorum (common house spider) is the source of this 748-nucleotide long non-coding RNA. RefSeq lists it as uncharacterized. Lineage: Eukaryota; Metazoa; Arthropoda; Arachnida; Araneae; Theridiidae. The record is from RefSeq and is a predicted model, not a curated record.
GUGAGCUUUAUAACAUGCAUUUGCUUGGAUUUUCUUCAUAAUCAUCUAAGAUCGUAAACAGAAACGAAUCUCAUCCUUAGAUGGUGAUUCUUCUUUGAAUAAUCCCUCCAGUUAAGACUCUUUCCUUCAAAAAAAUAAGUUUCAUGGUGUGAAGAUGCAACCGUUUGAUAUGACGGGGUGGAAUGCCAACUGGUACCAAAUGACCCGAUCGGGUUUUCUUUAUGCUCAAUUUCACAGUUCCAUUCGGAUGUAGACGAGCAGCUGUUGGUUGUUGAGUACUCAUGACUUCAGAAUCGAAUGAACUGCCAAGUAUCCUCCGUAGAUUGUAGACAUCUAGAUCACUAGGUUUUGGAUCAUAAAGAUUUCCCUCCGGCUCAACAAGCCCUAAUACAGUAGAAGAUGAGAAAAAUGAUGCUUAAGAGUAAAAAGGAUGCCUUGAGAGAGGAUCUUGCAAGGAUGCUGAAGAUGAAGAUAAUAUUUUCGAAGGUACCGCGGAGAGGUUGGACCACGCCGACGACGAGUCUAGACUAUGGGACCCACCGAUCAGGAGACAGACGACGGACGCCCACCCAUUUCCACGACCCCCCUUCUGCUUUUUUUUUCGUAAAUCCCUCGAUCCCCGGGGUUUUGAGAGGUCGCAACCCUGAAAAGAAAUAGGGGAAUCUGAUCGAGAAUAAAUUAAUUGUAUAAAAUCCUUCCUAUUGUGAAAUUCUGUGCCAAUAAAACUAUCGUAUCUGCUCGCAUGAAA